Molecule: ribosomal RNA, 750 nt
Filed under: Salmonella enterica
Lineage: Bacteria; Pseudomonadati; Pseudomonadota; Gammaproteobacteria; Enterobacterales; Enterobacteriaceae
Also listed under: 1 other name
Description: partial 23S ribosomal RNA
Rfam family: Bacterial large subunit ribosomal RNA
Source: RNAcentral
GGUUGAAGGUUGGGUAACACUAACUGGAGGACCGAACCGACUAAUGUUGAAAAAUUAGCGGAUGACCUGUGGCUGGGGGUGAAAGGCCAAUCAAACCGGGAGAUAGCUGGUUCUCCCCGAAAGCUAUUUAGGUAGCGCCUCGUGAAUUCAUCUCCGGGGGUAGAGCACUGUUUCGGCUAGGGGGCCAUCCCGGCUUACCAACCCGAUGCAAACUGCGAAUACCGGAGAAUGUUAUCACGGGAGACACACGGCGGGUGCUAACGUCCGUCGUGAAGAGGGAAACAACCCAGACCGCCAGCUAAGGUCCCAAAGUCAUGGUUAAGUGGGAAACGAUGUGGGAAGGCCCAGACAGCCAGGAUGUUGGCUUAGAAGCAGCCAUCAUUUAAAGAAAGCGUAAUAGCUCACUGGUCGAGUCGGCCUGCGCGGAAGAUGUAACGGGGCUAAACCAUGCACCGAAGCUGCGGCAGCGACACUGUGUGUUGUUGGGUAGGGGAGCGUUCUGUAAGCCUGUGAAGGUGUGUCGUGAGGCAUGCUGGAGGUAUCAGAAGUGCGAAUGCUGACAUAAGUAACGAUAAAGCGGGUGAAAAGCCCGCUCGCCGGAAGACCAAGGGUUCCUGUCCAACGUUAAUCGGGGCAGGGUGAGUCGACCCCUAAGGCGAGGCCGAAAGGCGUAGUCGAUGGGAAACGGGUUAAUAUUCCCGUACUUGGUGUUACUGCGAAGGGGGGACGGAGAAGGCUAUGUUGGCCGGG